ACUCAAAUGAAUAGACGGGGGCCCGCACAAGCGGUGGAGUAUGUGGUUUAAUUCGACGCUACGCGAAGAACCUUACCAACCUUUGACAUGGGAAGUAUGAGGCCCAGAGAUGGGCUUCUUCAGUUCGGCUGGCUUCCACACAGGUGCUGCAUGGCUGUCGUCAGCUCGUGUCGUGAGAUGUUGGGUUAAGUCCCGCAACGAGCGCAACCCUCAUCUUUAGUUGCCAUCAGUUCGGCUGGGCACUCUAGAGAAACCGCCGGUGACAAGCCGGAGGAAGGCGGGGAUGACGUCAAGUCCUCAUGGCCCUUACAGGUUGGGCUACACACGUACUACAAUGGCAGUGACAAUGGGAAGCGAUCCCGCAAGGGUGAGCCAACCUCCAAAAGCUGCCUCAGUUCGGAUUGUCCUCUGCAACUCGAGGGCAUGAAGCUGGAAUCGCUAGUAAUCGCGUAACAGCAUGACGCGGUGAAUACGUUCCCGGGCCUUGUACACACCGCCCGU
This 501-nucleotide ribosomal RNA is filed under the name uncultured bacterium. RNAcentral's name for it is "partial 16S ribosomal RNA". It matches the Rfam family "Bacterial small subunit ribosomal RNA", at positions 899 to 1397 of the family's 1533-position model. The record is from RNAcentral.